This 275-nucleotide ribosomal RNA is filed under the name uncultured prokaryote. RNAcentral's name for it is "partial 16S ribosomal RNA". It matches the Rfam family "Bacterial small subunit ribosomal RNA", at positions 524 to 798 of the family's 1533-position model. The record is from RNAcentral.
UACGUAGGGUGCGAGCGUUAUCCGGAUUUAUUGGGUUUAAAGGGUGCGCAGGCGGGAGAUUAAGUCGGCGGUGAAAUUUUGCAGCUCAACUGUAAAAGUGCCUUCGAAACUGGUUUUCUUGAGUGUGGAUGAAGUAGGCGGAAUUUGUGGUGUAGCGGUGAAAUGCACAGAUAUCACGAGGAACUCCGAUUGCGAAGGCAGCUUACUAAACCAUAACUGACGCUCAGGCACGAAGGCGUGGGGAUCAAACAGGAUUAGAUACCCGCGUAGUCCCU